GAUAGUCCCCCACACUGGUACUGAGACACGGACCAGACUCCUACGGGAGGCAGCAGUGAGGAAUAUUGGUCAAUGGGCGCAAGCCUGAACCAGCCAUGUCGCGUGCAGGAUGACGGCCCUAUGGGUUGUAAACUGCUUUUUUACAGGAAUAAACUUUGCUACGUGUAGCAAACUGAAGGUACUGUAAGAAUAAGGAUCGGCUAACUCCGUGCCAGCAGCCGCGGUAAUACGGAGGAUCCAAGCGUUAUCCGGAUUUAUUGGGUUUAAAGGGUCCGUAGGCGGGCUUUUAAGUCAGUGGUGAAAUCCCGGAGCUCAACUCCGGAACUGCCAUUGAUACUGAAGGUCUUGAAUUUAGUUGAGGUAGGCGGAAUACGUUAUGUAGCGGUGAAAUGCAUAGAUAUAACGUAGAACACCGAUUGCGAAGGCAGCUUACUAAGCUAACAUUGACGCUGAUGGACGAAAGCGUGGGGAGCGAAC
This 477-nucleotide ribosomal RNA is filed under the name Ensifer meliloti. RNAcentral's name for it is "Sinorhizobium meliloti bacterial SSU rRNA". It matches the Rfam family "Bacterial small subunit ribosomal RNA", at positions 299 to 773 of the family's 1533-position model. The record is from RNAcentral. Lineage: Bacteria; Pseudomonadati; Pseudomonadota; Alphaproteobacteria; Hyphomicrobiales; Rhizobiaceae.